Molecule: ribosomal RNA, 671 nt
Filed under: Alexandrium affine
Lineage: Eukaryota; Dinophyceae; Gonyaulacales; Pyrocystaceae
Description: LSU rRNA
Rfam family: Eukaryotic large subunit ribosomal RNA
Source: RNAcentral
UAAGUAAGUGGUGGAAAUUAAACCAAAUGGGAUUCCUUAAGUAAUUGCGAAUGAACAAGGACAUGCUUAGCUUGACAAUUGGAGCCUCUGGCUUCGACUUGUAUUUUUGAAAUGUAUUACCAACAGAGGUGCAGGUGUCAGCCUAUUGAAAGAAAGCGUCAAUGAGGGUGAGAAUCCUGUUUGUCAUGUGCAAUCCUCUGUGCACGGUGUAUGUUUGCUGAGUCACACUCCUUGGCAUUGGAAUGCAAAGUGGGUGGUAAGUUUCAUGUAAAGGUAAAUAUAGGAUUGAGACUGAUAGCACACAAGUACCAUGAGGGAAAUAUGAAAAGGACUUUGAAAAGAGAAUUAAAUGAGUUUGUAUUUGCUGAACAGAAAAUAAACAGAUUUGAUGUUGCUUGGUGAGAUUGUGGUGCUUGCUUGACAAUAGGUUUUGAUUGUGGGUGUGAUGAUUCUUGCUUUGCUUGCCAGUUUCUAUUUGUACAUUUGAUUACCCUUGCACAUGAAUGGUAAUUUUCCUGCGGGGUUUGGAUUGCAUGUGUUUGUGAUGAUUUGUGUUUUGAUACAUGUGUCUGGUGCUUUUGUAAUUGCUCAUUUCUUGAAGCUGGGCCUACCCUACUAGAGCUUACAAGCCCUGGCACACAAUUGCUGGCAAAAUGCUUCUGCUUGACCCG